Streptomyces sp. CB00455 is the source of this 68-nucleotide small RNA. It matches the Rfam family "ASdes TB sRNA". The record is from Rfam. NCBI's taxonomy places the organism in Bacteria, Bacillati, Actinomycetota, Actinomycetes, Kitasatosporales, Streptomycetaceae.
AGGGCGACAGGAUCAACCGCGCGGGUGACCAUGAGGUAGUCCCGGAUGGCAAUACUGUGGCGGCCUUC